UUUAGUGAGAGUUUGAUCCUGGCUCAGGACGAACGCUGGCGGCGUGCCUAACACAUGCAAGUCGAGCGAGUUGAUUCUCUUCG
RNAcentral lists this ribosomal RNA (83 nucleotides) under Clostridium celatum. RNAcentral describes it as "partial 16S ribosomal RNA". It matches the Rfam family "Bacterial small subunit ribosomal RNA", at positions 1 to 83 of the family's 1533-position model. The record is from RNAcentral. Lineage: Bacteria; Bacillati; Bacillota; Clostridia; Eubacteriales; Clostridiaceae.